This is a small nuclear RNA of Nomascus leucogenys (northern white-cheeked gibbon), 104 nucleotides long. NCBI's taxonomy places the organism in Eukaryota, Metazoa, Chordata, Mammalia, Primates, Hylobatidae. The record is from Ensembl.
GUGCUUACUGUAGCAACACAUAUACUAAAAUUGGAACGAUACGGAGAUUAGCAUUGUCCCUGGUCAAGGAUGACACACAAAUUCAUAGAGCAUUAUAUAUAUAU